RNAcentral lists this non-coding RNA (30 nucleotides) under Homo sapiens (human). Lineage: Eukaryota; Metazoa; Chordata; Mammalia; Primates; Hominidae. The record is from RNAcentral.
GCUCCGGGGACAGAUGGAUGGAAGCCUGGA